CCCAGCUAUAGGCAAUUGCCUAGGUUGCUUUGUACCUAGGCAAGUGUCACAGUGCUGGGAAAAAAGCAGCAAAGGCUGAUGGGCAUCCUGGGCCUGGCUAAUGCCAAAUU
Ochotona princeps (American pika) is the source of this 110-nucleotide small nucleolar RNA. Its record names the gene SNORA74. It matches the Rfam family "Small nucleolar RNA SNORA74". Rfam says of the family: U19 belongs to the H/ACA class of snoRNAs. snoRNAs bind a number of proteins (including dyskerin, Gar1p and Nop10p in the case of the H/ACA class) to form snoRNP complexes. The record is from Ensembl. NCBI's taxonomy places the organism in Eukaryota, Metazoa, Chordata, Mammalia, Lagomorpha, Ochotonidae.